RNAcentral lists this RNase P RNA (387 nucleotides) under Candidatus Jordarchaeia archaeon. Its description in RNAcentral is "RNase P RNA component". It matches the Rfam family "Archaeal RNase P". Rfam says of the family: Ribonuclease P (RNase P) is a ubiquitous endoribonuclease, found in archaea, bacteria and eukarya as well as chloroplasts and mitochondria. The record is from RNAcentral. Lineage: Archaea; Promethearchaeati; Candidatus Jordarchaeia.
AUGAGCAGAAGGACGGCUGCCGGUGCCUCAUGGCGCUGAGGAAAUCCAUCCAUCAUGUGGGACUCGAGCACUGUAAAGUGCAGGCUGAGAAGCCUGGCAAUGGAGCAGAAAUCCUGCGAAUUAAGGACUGCAAACGAUACACCCAUCUGAAGGAUGACAAUGAUACGGCCUUUGAACAUAAAAAUUAAAACAUUGGAAUAUGUUUAAAAGCAAACCGCUGAGGAUUCAGAUGGAAUUGUUGAAACGGCCACCCUCGAGGAUGCAAGUCCAAAUAGGCUACCCAUGAUUCCCACAAGAGGUAGCGGGUAGGACGCUAAGCUGAAUGCCGUCAAGAGAUUAAAUGGUAACAUUUAUCUUUUAACAGAAGAUGGAUUACUCUCUGCACAU